Molecule: ribosomal RNA, 253 nt
Filed under: uncultured bacterium
Lineage: Bacteria
Description: partial 16S ribosomal RNA
Rfam family: Bacterial small subunit ribosomal RNA
Source: RNAcentral
GACAGAGGGGGCAAGCGUUGUCCGGACUGACUGGGCGUAAAGCGCGCGCAGGCGGUCUCGGGCGUCGGUGCUGAAAGUCCACCGCUUAACGGUGGGAAGCGUGCCGAUACGCCGAGACUGGAGGGUGGGCGAGGGUGGUGGAAUUGCCGGUGUAGUGGUGAAAUGCGUAGAGAUCGGCAGGAACACCCGUGGCGUAAGCGGCCACCUAGCCCGCACCUGACGCUGAGGCGCGACAGCGUGGGGAGCGAACAGG